Non-coding RNA from Trichobilharzia regenti, 46 nucleotides. The record is from Rfam. Lineage: Eukaryota; Metazoa; Platyhelminthes; Trematoda; Strigeidida; Schistosomatidae.
GUACUGAUGAAGAGUCCCAAACCAGGACGAAGCAGCUGUACAGUAC